GCCUUCGUGGUGUAGUGGUUCUGCACGCUGGGCUGUUAUUCCAGAGGUCCGUGGUUCGAUUCCCGAGCGGAGGUG
RNAcentral lists this transfer RNA (75 nucleotides) under Stegodyphus dumicola. RNAcentral's name for it is "tRNA-Asn". It matches the Rfam family "tRNA". Rfam says of the family: Transfer RNA (tRNA) molecules are approximately 80 nucleotides in length. Their secondary structure includes four short double-helical elements and three loops (D, anti-codon, and T loops). The record is from RNAcentral. Lineage: Eukaryota; Metazoa; Arthropoda; Arachnida; Araneae; Eresidae.